This is a long non-coding RNA of Bombus pyrosoma, 1860 nucleotides long. RefSeq lists it as uncharacterized. Lineage: Eukaryota; Metazoa; Arthropoda; Insecta; Hymenoptera; Apidae. The record is from RefSeq and is a predicted model, not a curated record. The transcript has 3 exons.
GCUCGCUAUGACACGCGUUGAUUUAUCAUAAAUGUGAACCGUUUCUUGCCCAUUCGCUUUGUCAUACGCUUUUAAUUGCUGCUUUUAAUGAUCGUCAUGGUUGUACCUUAAAACCGGCGUUCUGGUAAUAAACCUUUUUCUGUAUCCGGUGCAAUGUUCGGUCGAGAUCUAGAAUCGAGAUCUAGAAACUUCUUGAGGUUAUAAAGUUAUGUUAAUAAAUCUGGUUCUUUUCCUCUUCUUUUAAUCGUAUUUACAACUUCCAUUUCUGUAUUAUUAUGAAUUGAUUCUAUGUUGGGAUGAUGGUUACAAAAGUUCCUUUGAAAAUACUGAUCCAACUUUUGAUGACUUUUGAAUUCGACACAUUCCCUACUUAAGCGAUCUGAUCGUGUGUUAUAAAUUUUGUUGAACUAUUUUCACUGCUAAUUUUCAGUAUUUGCAACUCCAGACUAUGACCGUCUACAACCUUCAGUAACCUUUGUCUCACCUUUCAGAACCUAGCAAAUGUUAUCUCCCUAAAGAUAAACUAGUACGAUAAGCAUAACAGGAUACUAAAUAUUACAACCUAACCUUACCAACACUAAGCUAUAAAUAUCGUAGAAAUCUAAACCUUUAAGGUUAGAAACUUCACAUCGAUCGUUACCAAAUAUUUCAAGUUCUCACACUAUCACUAAACACUAAUUUAUUCCUUUAAAAGUACCACAUAAAUCUCACAAAUUUACAUUUUCCUCGAAUUUCGAUAGACGAGCACCGAACAGCACUUACGCCUAACAAAUGGGAAAAGUUUUUUCGAUUCCAUUGUGAAAGAGAAAGCGAUAAGGCCGAGGAAAAAAGAACGUGAAAUUAACAACGGACUCGUUAUUUGAAAGGAAAAGGUGCAAGGGACACGUCUGAAGCCCUCGAGACCAGAUUAGACACGGCUCAGUGGAAAUGAAGAAGGAAAAGAAAUAUAUGGCGUCAAAUAUUUAACUUAGUGUGUUGUACCAUCGAAAUUGGGAUAAAGAGAGGGGAGGUUGAAUUGUGGAGGGUGUUAAGAUUUGCAGGAAAAGAGAUUCGUUGAAGAUCGUUUACGAUCGACAAAUACAAGGGAUCCAAUUACUAAUGACCAAGUGCUUAAACAAAGAUGGCUUUCUGAAGCAUUGACUAUAUAUCAGCUCUCUAAAUAUUAAAGAAGAAUAGAAACCACUUGAUCCAUAUUUGACAGAUAUUGGUUCAAAUAUCAAAUUCGAGCGAUCUGAUUGGUCGAUGCUUCCUCAUUGGUGACUAAUUUAAAGAAUUCUAAUUCUUAUGAAGUAUAUUUAAAAUCUUUACUAUGUUGGAAUUUAUUUGCAAUUAAUACAUACGAUGUUGAGGGUGAACAAAUGAAAAUCUUGGUCGGACGGACUAGGACGGAUAAGCGAAUACUGCUUGUUUCUUUUUUUUUUUUUUUUUAAAUUUGCAUUUGGUAGUGCUUCACCGUCCUACGGUCUUGUCAAACCAAAAUUUCUUUUUCCAAAAGACAAAACUCCCUAAGGGCAAGGCAAGUAACAUGUAUGCGCAUGACACAUACGUAGUAAGUUUCGAGUAUCGACCUUCGAUGCAACGACAACCCUUCCUUACGGUGCAUCAAUUCGCCUCGAUGUUCUCCACCCAAGCACGAACGACGUUUCAUGAACCGUGAGUUACGACGAUAAGAGAAAGUUCCGCGCGAGGCGCGACGCUUGAAAAUAUGGCGGGACCGCGUUUAUAUGCUGCACAAGGAGAUUCCACGCGAGAAAGGGGUCUGCCAUGCCGGCGAGUCUGAAACCUUUUAAAAAUAUCCAACGGCCGAAACGAAUGGCACAGCACGGCCAGACGACCGAAAUAGAAAGUCGGACUGGGCGA